Molecule: ribosomal RNA, 497 nt
Filed under: uncultured bacterium
Lineage: Bacteria
Description: bacterial SSU rRNA
Rfam family: Bacterial small subunit ribosomal RNA
Source: RNAcentral
CUCAGGAUGAACGCUAGCUACAGGCUUAACACAUGCAAGUCGAGGGGAAACGAUAUUGGAAGCUUGCUUCCGAUAGGCGUCGACCGGCGCACGGGUGAGUAACGCGUAUCCAACCUGCCCAUCACUUGGGAAUAACCUUGCGAAAGUAAGACUAAUGCCCAAUGACAUUUAUAGAAGGCAUCUGAAAUGAAUUAAAGAUUUAUCGGUGAUGGAUGGGGAUGCGUCUGAUUAGCUUGUUGGCGGGGUAACGGCCCACCAAGGCGACGAUCAGUAGGGGUUCUGAGAGGAAGGUCCCCCACAUUGGAACUGAGACACGGUCCAAACUCCUACGGGAGGCAGCAGUGAGGAAUAUUGGUCAAUGGGCGAGAGCCUGAACCAGCCAAGUAGCGUGCAGGAAGACGGCCCUAUGGGUUGUAAACUGCUUUUAUAGGGGAAUAAAGUGAGCCACGUGUGGCUUUUUGCAUGUACCCUAUGAAUAAGGACCGGCUAAUUCCGUG